This 157-nucleotide unclassified non-coding RNA is filed under the name uncultured Dactylaria. Its description in RNAcentral is "sequence contains ITS1". Lineage: Eukaryota; Fungi; Ascomycota; Orbiliomycetes; Orbiliales; Orbiliaceae. The record is from RNAcentral.
CCGAGAUAUGCCCUUCGGGGUAGACCUCCCACCCUGUGUAUACCUUACCUCUGUUGCUUUGGCGGGCCGCCUAGCUACCGGCUUCGGCUGGUAGGUGCCCGCCAGAGGACCCAAAACCCUGAAUAUUAGUGUCGUCUGAGUAAAAUUUUAAUAUUUA